RNAcentral lists this ribosomal RNA (716 nucleotides) under uncultured bacterium. Its description in RNAcentral is "bacterial SSU rRNA". It matches the Rfam family "Bacterial small subunit ribosomal RNA", at positions 28 to 788 of the family's 1533-position model. The record is from RNAcentral.
AACGAACGCUGGCGGCAGGCCUAACACAUGCAAGUCGAACGCCGUAGCAAUACGGAGUGGCAGACGGGUGAGUAACACGUGGGAACGUGCCCAAAGGUACGGAACAACUCCGGGAAACUGGAGCUAAUACCGUAUGUGCCCGAGAGGGGAAAGAUUUAUCGCCUUUGGAUCGGCCCGCGUCUGAUUAGCUUGUUGGUGAGGUAACGGCUCACCAAGGCGACGAUCAGUAGCUGGUCUGAGAGGAUGGCCAGCCACACUGGGACUGAGACACGGCCCAGACUCCUACGGGAGGCAGCAGUGGGGAAUAUUGGACAAUGGGCGCAAGCCUGAUCCAGCCAUGCCGCGUGAGUGAUGAAGGCCCUAGGGUUGUAAAGCUCUUUCGCCAGGGACGAUAAUGACGGUACCUGGAUAAGAAGCCCCGGCUAACUUCGUGCCAGCAGCCGCGGUAAUACGAAGGGGGCUAGCGUUGUUCGGAAUCACUGGGCGUAAAGCGUAUGCAGGCGGAUCGUUAAGUGAGGGGUGAAAUCCCGAGGCUCAACCUCGGAACUGCCUUUCAUACUGGCGAUCUUGGAGUCCCGGGAGAGGUGAGUGGAACUGCGAGUGAAGAGGUGAAAUUCGUAGAUAUUCGCAAGAACACCAGUGGCGAAGGCGGCUCACUGGCCCGGUACUGACGCUGAGAUACNAAAGCGUGGGGAGCAAACAGGAUUAGAUACCCU